Globicephala melas (long-finned pilot whale) is the source of this 831-nucleotide long non-coding RNA. RefSeq lists it as uncharacterized. Lineage: Eukaryota; Metazoa; Chordata; Mammalia; Artiodactyla; Delphinidae. The record is from RefSeq and is a predicted model, not a curated record.
CUCACACUGGAAUCUACACCAUCAGCUCUGGCCUUCAAACUACACCACUGGCCUUUCCUGGGCCUCUAGCUUGUGGAUGAUCGACAGUGGGACUUCUCAGCCUCUAUAAUCAUUUAGUGCCAUCUGAAGAUUUCUGUAUUGAAGAUUUUCCCAUCAAGUGGACAUAGACUCAGGAAUUUCAGCUUUUCGUCUACAGAUAUUGGGUCCUUCCCCAUUCAAAGUGCUACAGUACCUAUUGCAAGUGUCUAUCACGUGUCUAAGAUACCGUGAGCAGCAGUCUUGCUCCAUGGAACCUGGUAAAGGGAGCAGCUUCCAUCCAGGACAUCCCGAGUCUCGUGGUACAGGUGAAGAAUAUGAAGAGAGAAAAGAAGAUCCCCAAAGGGAAGGCCAUUUUUGGAACUGUUUCUUGUCUUCACAAUAGAAGAUCUUUGGGAAGACAGUCAGAAUUACCAUUGGGAGUCAGUUUUAUCCUCUGCACUUUUCUCUUUAAUUUUUAUUUGUGCAAUACUCUGCUUCAGUUGCCUCAGUUUUCAUGGAUUGUUCAAGACUUAAAUCAGGAAAGAUGGAACAGACAGGUUCAAAGCAGUAGCUCGAAUGCAGAAGAAGCAGGGCUCCCUCCAAGUACCAGAACUGUGGUUGAAAGUGAGCAUUUGGUCCCAGCCACGAGGCACAUGCCAAGAUAUCACACCAGAUGGGACAGAAGUCCCUAGAACUCAACUUAAUAGACUUUCCCAGUUUGGGACCUGUGAGUGGGACCUGGACACGAGGAAUAUUGAGAUGUCAGUAGGAGAAUCAAGGAAGCUAUUGCACCGAUGACUUCAGAAUGCAUCG